This 460-nucleotide ribosomal RNA is filed under the name uncultured bacterium. RNAcentral's name for it is "partial 16S ribosomal RNA". It matches the Rfam family "Bacterial small subunit ribosomal RNA", at positions 338 to 795 of the family's 1533-position model. The record is from RNAcentral.
CCUACGGGAGGCAGCAGUGAGGAAUAUUGGUCAAUGGGCGCGAGCCUGAACCAGCCAAGUAGCGUGAAGGAUGACUGCCCUACGGGUUGUAAACUUCUUUUAUAAAGGAAUAAAGUGAGGCACGUGUGCCGUUUUGUAUGUACUUUAUGAAUAAGGAUCGGCUAACUCCGUGCCAGCAGCCGCGGGAAUACGGAGGGUCCGAGCGUUAUCCGGAUUUAUUGGGGUUAAAGGGAGCGGAGAUGGGUUGUUAAGUCCGUUGUGAAAGUUUGCGGGUCAAACGUAAAAGUGCAAUUGAUACUGGCAGCCUUGAGUACAGUUGAGGUAGGCGGAAUUCGUGGUGUAGCGGUGAAAUGCUUAGAUAUCACGAAGAACUCCGAUUGCGAAGGCAGCUUACUAAACUGCCACUGACAUUGAUGCUCGAAAGUGUGGGUAUCAAACAGGAUUAGAUACCCUGGUAGUC